CAAUAGCGUAUAUUUAAGUUGUUGCAGUUAAAAAGCUCGUAGUUGGAUUUCGGUUAAGAGCGACCGGUCCGCCGUUUGGUGUGCACUGGUUGGUUUUAACUUCCUGUAGAGGACGUGCUCUGGGUUUAACGACCUGGACUCGGAGUCUACGUGGUUACUUUGAAAAAAUUAGAGUGUUCAAAGCGGGCUUACGCUUGAAUAUUUCAGCAUGGAAUAACACUAUAGGACUCCUAUCCUAUUUCGUUGGUCUCGGGACGGGAGUAAUGAUUAAGAGGAACAGUUGGGGGCAUUCGUAUUUCAUUGUCAGAGGUGAAAUUCUUGGAUUUAUGAAAGACGAACUUCUGCGAAAGCAUUUGCCAAGGAUGUUUUCAUUAA
RNAcentral lists this ribosomal RNA (375 nucleotides) under uncultured eukaryote. RNAcentral's name for it is "partial 18S ribosomal RNA". It matches the Rfam family "Eukaryotic small subunit ribosomal RNA", at positions 592 to 976 of the family's 1831-position model. The record is from RNAcentral.